GUUUGAUAUUUUAUUAUUUUUGACAUGAGAUAGUUGAGUGACAUGGAAUUUUCAAAUUCCACUCUAAAUUACAAUUGAGGAUAUCAUACACUUACUUUUUGUUUGUACACAUACAAUAAUAUAUUACAUGUUUGUUUAUGUACAUAUAAUAAUAAAACAUCUCGUUUUAAUUGUACAUCCAUGACUAUCUACAUAAUUUAAAAUAAACAAAUUGCCAUUCAUUUUAUACAC
This 231-nucleotide long non-coding RNA is filed under the name Mytilus galloprovincialis (Mediterranean mussel). The record is from RNAcentral. Lineage: Eukaryota; Metazoa; Mollusca; Bivalvia; Mytilida; Mytilidae.